GACGAACGCUGGCGGCGUGCCUAACACAUGCAAGUCGAACGGAGUCGGCCCCGCAAGGGACUGACUUAGUGGCGAACGGGUGAGUAACGCGUGAGCAACCUGCCUUUCAGUGGGGGACAACAGUUGGAAACGACUGCUAAUACCGCAUAAUGCAUUUUGACCGCAUGAUCGAGAUGCCAAAGAUUUAUUGCUGAAAGAUGGGCUCGCGUCUGAUUAGAUAGUUGGUGAGGUAACGGCCCACCAAGUCGACGAUCAGUAGCCGGACUGAGAGGUUGAACGGCCACAUUGGGACUGAGAUACGGCCCAGACGCCUACGGGAGGCAGCAGUGGGGAAUAUUGGGCAAUGGGGGAAACCCUGACCCAGCAACGCCGCGUGAAGGAAGAAGGCUUUCGGGUUGUAAACUUCUUUUACCAGGGACGAAGAAAGUGACGGUACCUGGAGAAAAAGCCACGGCUAACUACGUG
This 465-nucleotide ribosomal RNA is filed under the name uncultured bacterium. RNAcentral's name for it is "partial 16S ribosomal RNA". It matches the Rfam family "Bacterial small subunit ribosomal RNA", at positions 28 to 507 of the family's 1533-position model. The record is from RNAcentral.